Molecule: ribosomal RNA, 507 nt
Filed under: Triticum aestivum (bread wheat)
Lineage: Eukaryota; Viridiplantae; Streptophyta; Magnoliopsida; Poales; Poaceae
Description: partial small subunit ribosomal RNA
Source: RNAcentral
AUGGUGGCAUGCGCCCAAGGUCUCGGUGUGCCCUGUGGAUCUCGGAUGUUCAGGCACGCGUUGCAGGCGGUCGCAUUCCUGAGCGAGGAGAAGAUCGCUGCCAAAGCGGAGUACAUGAGGAAGGCGUUUAGGUGGUCAGAUGCUCAGGCUGGCACUGUCGUGUCCAAGCUUCCAACGAUCCUGGCUUGGUCUAACGACAUGAUACAGAGCAAGGCGGAGUUCCUCAUCUCUGAGGUGGGGCUGGAACCAGGGUACAUCGCUUAUCGUCCGGCAUUGCUUACGUACAGCCUGGAUGGCCGGCUUAGGCCCCGGUACUAUGUUGUAAAGUUUCUUAAGGAAAACGGAUCGUUAGAUCAAGACCGGAGCUACUAUUCUGCAGUCAUGGUGAUGGAGAAUGUAUUCAUGGACAAGUACAUUUGCCCUCACAAGGAAGCUGCGCCGCACCUCACUGAAGACUAUGCAGCAGCUUGCAGAGGGGAAGUGCCAACUAGAUUCAGAUUUGCAUGA